UGAAGCUGGAUUCGCUAGUAAUCGCGCAUCAGCCACGGCGCGGUGAAUACGUUCCCGGGCCUUGUACACACCGCCCGUCAAGCCAUGGAAGCCGGGAGUGCCUGAAGUGCGUGAGCGCAAGCAGCGCCCUAAGGUAAAACCGGUGACUGGGGCUAAGUCGUAACAAGGUAAC
Molecule: ribosomal RNA, 172 nt
Filed under: uncultured bacterium
Lineage: Bacteria
Description: partial 16S ribosomal RNA
Rfam family: Bacterial small subunit ribosomal RNA
Source: RNAcentral